AACGAACGCUGGCGGCGCGCCUAACACAUGCAAGUCGAACGAGAAUCCGGGGCAACCCGGUAGUAAAGUGGCAAACGGGUGAGGAAUACAUGGGUAACCUACCCUUGAGAAGGGAAUAACCCGCCGAAAGGUGAGCUAAUACCCUAUACGCUAUCUUUUUUUCGAAAGGAAUAGGAAAGACCGGGUCGAGGACCUGGUACUCAAGGAGGGGCGUCAUGUCCUAUCAGCUUGUUGGUGGGGUAACGGGCCUACCAAGGCUACGACGGGUAGGCUGGUCUGAGAGGAUGAUCAGCCACACUGGCACUGAGAUACGGGCCAGACUCCUACGGGAGGCAGCAGUGAGGAAUAUUGCGCAAUGGGCGAAAGCCUGACGCAGCGACGCCGCGUGGGGGAGUGAAGGUUUU
This 404-nucleotide ribosomal RNA is filed under the name uncultured bacterium. RNAcentral describes it as "bacterial SSU rRNA". It matches the Rfam family "Bacterial small subunit ribosomal RNA", at positions 29 to 418 of the family's 1533-position model. The record is from RNAcentral.